CGUUUUUUGCCUGUUUACAUAUUUUUACGCGUAAUGAUUUUCGAAUGUAAUAAGGGGAAGUCCCAACAAAAAAAUGUUACUCUAUGUGUAUCAAUUAUUGCAAAUCUAGUUAUAAUGUAUUUAGUUAGCGGCCGGUGCAGUUGUUUUGCUUUACAAUGGAAGCUAAAUCAGAAAAAAAUAAAAAACGCAAAGGCAUUUCUUUAGAAACAAAAAUAAAAGUUUUGGACUUUCUAGAGCAGGGAGCUGGCCCAACAAAUGUGGGAAAGAGACUUGGACUCAGUAAAUCUUCAGUGCGGCCAAUAAAAAAAAAUGAAAAUGCAAUUAGAAAAUCUGUAGUUUCCGGCAAAUAUCUAAAUGCGAAGAAAACUUCAUACUCAAGAAAUGUUUUUAUUGAAGAAAUGGAAAACCUAUUAGCAGUUUGAAUUGAGGAUCUCAGCCAGAAACGAAUCCCAGUUGAUACUACAACAAUAAAACAAAAAGCUCUACAUAUUUGUUCACUGGAUGGCCAAUAAAAAAGCCUGGGUAACUGGAAAUAUAUUCCAAGAAUGUGCAUUAUGGAAAAACUGGACGAAAAUCCUGAAUUGGACUUCACCGAUGCUUGGAAAAAUUUUUCUAUCAAGAAUUGCAUCUUGUACGCGUCAAAAGUAAUUUCUGAAAUAAGGCAACAUACGUUAAACGCAUGCUGGAAAUCUCUCAAAAUGUGUUAAAAGUGGUAUGUCCGUGACAAGCAAUUCAACUAAUUAUUCAGAUAUCAUUGAUUUAGCAAGCUCCGCGGGAAGAGAAAUUCUUGCAGAUAUAACGAGAGAAGAUAUUGACGAGAUUCUUCUAGACCGAGAGCUCGAUGAUGACGAUUUAAUUGAAAUAGCUACGGAAGUAAACGAAUCGGGAAAUGGCAGCGACACCUCGAUAGACGAGCAUCCAAUUAAAGCAGAGACGAUUAGGCAAGGUCUUAAACUUGCAGCAGAAUGAUACUGAUGGCGAGCGUGUACGAAUUUUUCAAAAAGAAUUGAGUCUCUGCAUGUUAAGAUAUAAAGAAUUACAUCGGAAUUUAUUGGGUUCAAAAAGAAGCAUUCAAACAAAAUUAACUGAAUUUAUGGAGCAAACUCAGUCGGAGAUGCUUAGUCAAUCAGAGCAUCAAUCCAUAGUUCUUACUAUUGAUUCUGAUACAAAUUCUAGUGAUAUCAGUGCAGGUCAUCAAAAUAAGCGGCUAAGAAUAAUUUCCACUACGGAUAAUGACAGUGAUUAAACAGCAUUCAACGGUUUUUUCAAUAAAUCUACCUAUUUUCUGUUUUCUUCUCUUUUAUAUAUGGUUAUUAAUUCAUAACAAAAUAAAAAAUACAAAACAAAUAUUUUUUAUUUUGUUAUGAAUGAAUAAAUCAUAAGUCUGAAAUUUGAAA
Molecule: long non-coding RNA, 1397 nt
Filed under: Ceratitis capitata (Mediterranean fruit fly)
Lineage: Eukaryota; Metazoa; Arthropoda; Insecta; Diptera; Tephritidae
Description: uncharacterized LOC110118047, transcript variant X2
Source: RNAcentral